ACAUAGGAAACAAAAGUACAGGGAGAACAAUCGAAAUAAGACAGAUUGUGAAAGUCCAGAUAGACACCGUUCAAAGAAAGCAAGGGUUCUGUUGUCGUCUUCAACCCACUCUGAUUGUACUGCAUCCAGAUUGCAGUCACCUUCAAGAUCAAUAAGCUCAUUCUCUGGGUCUGUUUCCCAUUCCAAGUUCAAAUCAGCAUCAUCCAGAAAAAAUUCCCCGUCCGCUCAUUCGUGGUCUUCAACAUCAUACCAUUCUGGAUCUAAACCCUUCAUGUCGAGGUUGACAUCAAGCUCAAACUCUCCUACAUCUUUGGCUUUACCGGUAGCACUCGAUAGAUGUUUUUCUUCGUCACCAAAUAAAAUGCAAACAGAUUACAGGGGAGACGAAAAACUGGCUAUGCAAUUGCUAAGUGUUUACAGCUAACUUAGAUUAUAUUGAUUCUCAGGUUCAAAUGUGAAAAAAUAAAAAAUUGGCUGAAUGAAAUACAAAAGAGCAUAAAGUUUCACUAAUGUUUUAUUUCGGUUUUUCAUUUUUGGAUUUAGAAAUCACGUUUUAUUUGUUUCUCUUGAGAAUCAGUGACCGGUGGUCACCAUAAUUGAUUAUUUUUAGCCCUACUUUCUGUUUCUACCAUCUCAUUGUUUUAACUCUGCACGUUUUGCGAGAAACAUUAAUUAUUAUUAGAAAGGAAUUUUGGGUUGUGAAUUCAAACUAGUAGCAAUUUUAUAUUCAAACAUGAAUUCAUUUGUUUCUCAUAUCCAAAGCCUGAAUCGCACAUUCCUGUUUAUGCCCAUCCGAAAGUUGUCCUGUUAGAAGCCGGAAAAAUUCAGACAAAUUUCUUGGUCUAUUUAAUGGAAUAAAUACUGGCAAUUAGUAAUAUGCCAUGUUUAUAAAAUUUGUAGGUGAUAUUAGGAUGCUGAGGAAGUGUUUUACUUAAAUUUUUACUAUACGAGGAGUCCAGGACAAUUUUAUAAUGCAUUUUUAAGAAAGAAGUAAUAUCAGUAUAUCACUAUUGAAAAUUGAUAUGCAAGUAGUACAUAUCUUGUUACCGUGUAAGAAUUUUUCCUUGUACUUUUAAGAUUUAAAUGAAAUGUCAGGGAGUGGUGUUCAUUACCAAAGAGUCGGAUAAAUAUCCCUUUAAUAUCCAAGGAUGUUUCGUCAUGAUUCUAUUCAAUAAGAUGAUAGGAAACAGCUGACACUAUUAGAUUUUCUUGUGGAUGCAGGGAAACAAUCAACUUCUUUUAGCACUAAGAACUUGUAAGUGGGACCUGAAACGCCCAUUUCUUUGUACUCUGCAGUUUAUUAGCUGUUGCAUUAUUUGGAGUGGCAUUACUUGACUUUUCAGAUUAUAGUAAAGUGUUGCGCACCUUAUAUUAGAUAGAUAGUUUCUGGUCAGUACCAAAGUUUUCAAAAAUGUUCAGACACCUUGAAUGUGUGUUGUACAAGGUGUUCAUUAGGACCCUCAAAACUUCCACUUUGAGUUCCUUUUGUCAAGACUUACGCCUUAAUUUUAAAGUGCAUGGGGCACGCAUAGAGGUGGCUGAGGUUUUCUCCCCUUAAUCCUUUUUUUAAGUCAUGUUUUCCCAACACGUUUUGAGGGUUCCUCCAGAUUGUUUAAAUGCGCCUCAACUCUAAAAAUUAGAAACAAAAGAAUAGAAUAUUGGAGAAAAUUAGAAAAUAAUGAGUGAAGGGAAUGUGCUUAGCAUAGCUUUGUACUCCUACAACAGAAUACUAAAGAAGAGAACUUGCAACUCUUUGAUUGCUAGAGACCUCCAACAUGUAAUGUCACCCCACUUUAUUCUACUUUUUCUUAUUAUUGAUGUCUCUAUUGUGAUGUUUUCUUUCCUCUGGAAUUUCUUUCCUUUUAAGUCAAAGCAAAUGAAGUUCUCAAAUAACUGAUGCAUCUAUUUUUUUGGACUUUUAGCUCUAGUUGUAGAUUAAUGGUCUUAUAAUGUGAUUACUACUCUACUAAUUUGUUAUUGGCUGCUUUAUUAAUCCAUUUUAUGUUUCUAAUAGUAUGUUAGUCUUUUAGCUUUUCUAAACGGUAUUAAUAAUUAUAUUUUGAAAUUUUUAAUUUUUUAUUAUGUGUAAUUUUCUAUUUUUGUAGUUAUUUGAAAUUCUAUUGGUUUAUGUUGAGCUUUAUACUUCAAAGCAGCCGAGGUUCACCCUUUGCCUCAUGCAAAAACACCUCAAUACCACGUAUACAUGCAUGCACCUAUGUUUCUAAGUACUUGAUGUAAUUUUCAGGUUUUAAAUUUUUUCUUGUUUUUUGCUACAGAUGUCUUUGCAUCUUGGUAAUCUGUCAUCUCGCAUUCGUAAAGAUGAAUUGGAACGUGUUUUCCGAAGGUUUGGUAGGUGUACUGUACGGAUAAAAGACAAAUACGGGUUUGUAGUUUAUGAUUACCCUGCAUGUGCUGAAAAAGCUCUGAAAACACUUCGAGGCAAAAGAAUUUGUGGAGAGCCAAUAACCCUAUCGUGGUCAAAUAGGCAGCGUCAAGCCUUGCAGCUAUUUGAUAGAGGUGGUAAAUCAUACAAGGCACCACAAGAAAGGUACUCUGUCAAAGAUAGGGUGGGAUCAAAUGGUAAAUACAAUCACAAUAUGGAAUUCAAGAAAAUAGAUAGUGAAGGUAGAAAGCCUGGUUCUUCUGACCUGGUUGAUGAAGCAAGAAGCUACCCUUCCAACAAUUUGAAUUGUUGUGCUGGGGAAAAAGAUCGUGCUGUUUUUGAUGAUUCUCAUGAAGCUAGCGGGAAGAACCAUAUGGAGGAUGAUAGGUGGGGAGAGCAGGUUUUGGAUCCAUCAAACGAAAAUGGUUUAGAAAAUGGAUUGGAGUUUGACCGUUAUGAACCUUAUUACAGUGAUGACAAAAAGGAGCAGAAUGAACUUCAAGAUGCAUCCUAUUUUGGUGGUUCACCCACUAGAACGAAGUCUCCAGAGAAAACAGGCUUUGGACAAAAUGAUCAUCAUAAAAUUUUGGAUCAUCUCAGCAAUUCAAAAUCUCGAAAAACGUGCUAUGCAUGUGGUAAAGUGGGUCAUGAAAUGCGGAAGUGCCCCUCACAGCUGGAGAGACCCAGAACAAGGUCUCAACUGCCGAGUCAAAGUAGUGAUGCUGCUCCAAUGAGGCAUCAGAAAAACGAUAGGGAGCCAUCGACUUCAAGAAAUAAUCGGAGAUUGCUUAGACGUGGAGGUUCUCCCUCAGCACAGCUUACUUCCAGACAUAGGAAACAAAAGUACAGGGAGAACAAUCGAAAUAAGACAGAUUGUGAAAGUCCAGAUAGACACCGUUCAAAGAAAGCAAGGGUUCUGUUGUCGUCUUCAACCCACUCUGAUUGUACUGCAUCCAGAUUGCAGUCACCUUCAAGAUCAAUAAGCUCAUUCUCUGGGUCUGUUUCCCAUUCCAAGUUCAAAUCAGCAUCAUCCAGAAAAAAUUCCCCGUCCGCUCAUUCGUG
This 3445-nucleotide long non-coding RNA is filed under the name Olea europaea (common olive). RNAcentral's name for it is "long non-coding RNA (OEUR_LNC000732)". The record is from RNAcentral. Lineage: Eukaryota; Viridiplantae; Streptophyta; Magnoliopsida; Lamiales; Oleaceae.